ACGAACGCUGGCGGCAUGCCUAAGACAUGCAAGUCGAACGAGAUGGUCUUUUGAAAGAGGAGUGCUUGCACAAUUCUCGAUAUAGAUUCAUCUAGUGGCGCACGGGUGAGUAACACGUGGGAAACCUGCCCCUUUCUUCGGGAUAACUCUGGGAAACUGGUGCUAAUACCGAAUACUCCGGGAUGAUCGCAUGAUCGACCUGGGAAAGCUUUAUGUGGAAAGGGAUGGUCCCGCGGCCCAUUAGCUUGUUGGUGGGGUAAUGGCCUACCAAGGCAACGAUGGGUAGCCG
RNAcentral lists this ribosomal RNA (289 nucleotides) under uncultured bacterium. RNAcentral describes it as "partial 16S ribosomal RNA". It matches the Rfam family "Bacterial small subunit ribosomal RNA", at positions 29 to 289 of the family's 1533-position model. The record is from RNAcentral.